CUUUAUAUACUUAUGAAAUGUUAAGAGCCCAACUCAAAAUCCAGUGUCCGCAAGGACGUGCCGGUUCGACCCCGGCCGCCGGUA
This 84-nucleotide transfer RNA is filed under the name Streptococcus pneumoniae SPNA45. RNAcentral describes it as "tRNA-Leu-CAA". The record is from RNAcentral. Lineage: Bacteria; Bacillati; Bacillota; Bacilli; Lactobacillales; Streptococcaceae.